GAUGAUGAUGAGAACUUCCAAAUCCAAUUAGCUUUUACUGCCAGACAUGCACAAAACAAGAAGAAGCAGAAGAACCACGAGAACAACAGCUUCCAGUGGCCUGAGUUCGAGUUCGGCUGUUGUUGCCCUCGUGCUCUAAUUGGAAUUUUGUUGAACACGCGUGGGUCAAACACUCUGGCAAAACACAUUCGAAUAUCUGAAUGUUAAUGCAGACUUUUAUGUAUGUAAUACACACACACGUUUAUAUAGACGUUUUGCAUUUUUAAAUACAUAUGUAUUAUUACAUUCACGCACACACUUGUUCGUACACAGAAUUACCAGCAUACAUAUAAACAUACAUAUUCAUGUACGUACAUGAAUGCAUAUUUUUGAAUGUGUGUAUCUACUGCACCGCCUGCUGCUGCUGCUUCUGCUUGCUGCUGCUUGUGAGCAUCACAACAUUCUUUUUCUUUUUCUUUGUUUGCACACACAGAACACAGAAAAUUAGUGGUGAGUCUGAGA
Molecule: long non-coding RNA, 501 nt
Organism: Drosophila sulfurigaster albostrigata
Lineage: Eukaryota; Metazoa; Arthropoda; Insecta; Diptera; Drosophilidae
Exons: 2
Source: RefSeq, a predicted model, not a curated record